UGCACCACAAUUAACAUGGUUUCUCUGUUUACUUCCAAAAGUGUCAACUAUAAAAUGUAGGAUGACCUUGAAAAUGUACGCAUUAAAUUUUUUCCAUCCAAGAAAUGCCUUCCAGAUAAAUUAACACGGCGCGGAGCUAACAAUGACCAAAAAUACACCAUGCAUCUGCACCAAUCAAAACAUUUCUUCCUAUUAAAACUCUAUAU
Molecule: long non-coding RNA, 206 nt
Filed under: Sorghum bicolor (sorghum)
Lineage: Eukaryota; Viridiplantae; Streptophyta; Magnoliopsida; Poales; Poaceae
Description: long non-coding RNA (SBIC_LNC011906)
Source: RNAcentral